GAUGAACGCUGGCGGCGUGCCUAAUACAUGCAAGUAGAACGCUGAAGCUUGGUGCUUGCACCGAGCGGAUGAGUUGCGAACGGGUGAGUAACGCGUAGGUAACCUGCCUCUUAGCGGGGGAUAACUAUUGGAAACGAUAGCUAAUACCGCAUAAAAGUCGAUAUCGCAUGAUGUUGAUUUGAAAGGUGCAAUUGCAUCACUAAGAGAUGGACCUGCGUUGUAUUAGCUAGUUGGUGAGGUAACGGCUCACCAAGGCGACGAUACAUAGCCGACCUGAGAGGGUGAUCGGCCACACUGGGACUGAGACACGGCCCAGACUCCUACGGGAGGCAGCAGUAGGGAAUCUUCGGCAAUGGGGGCAACCCUGACCGAGCAACGCCGCGUGAGUGAAGAAGGUUUUCGGAUCGUAAAGCUCUGUUGUAAGAGAAGAACGAGUGUGAGAGUGGAAAGUUCACACUGUGACGGUAACUUACCAGAAAGG
RNAcentral lists this ribosomal RNA (481 nucleotides) under Streptococcus parasanguinis. RNAcentral describes it as "bacterial SSU rRNA". It matches the Rfam family "Bacterial small subunit ribosomal RNA", at positions 28 to 491 of the family's 1533-position model. The record is from RNAcentral. Lineage: Bacteria; Bacillati; Bacillota; Bacilli; Lactobacillales; Streptococcaceae.